CGAGGUCCGGAGCUUGCUCCGGGCGCCUAGUGGCGAACGGGUGAGUAACGCGUGGGAACCUGCCCUGGAGUGGGGAACAACCUUUGGAAACGAAGGCUAAUACCGCAUACGCUCUACGGAGGAAAGGCUUCGGCCGCUCUUGGAUGGUCCCGCGUCUGAUUAGCUUGUUGGUGGGGUAACGGCCUACCAAGGCGACGAUCAGUAGCUGGUCUGAGAGGAUGAUCAGCCACACUGGGACUGAGACACGGCCCAGACUCCUACGGGAGGCAGCAGUGGGGAAUAUUGGACAAUGGGGGAAACCCUGAUCCAGCAAUGCCGCGUGAGUGAAGAAGGCCUUAGGGUUGUAAAACUCUUUCGCCGGUGAAGAUGAUGACUGUAGCCGGUAAAGAAGCCCCGGCUAACUCCGUGCCAGCAGCCGCGGUAAU
Molecule: ribosomal RNA, 425 nt
Filed under: uncultured Alphaproteobacteria bacterium
Lineage: Bacteria; Pseudomonadati; Pseudomonadota; Alphaproteobacteria
Description: bacterial SSU rRNA
Rfam family: Bacterial small subunit ribosomal RNA
Source: RNAcentral